GGCGAACGGGUGAGGAACACGUGAAGAAUCUGCCUUCAACUCUGGGAUAACUCCGGGAAACCGGGGCUAAUACCGGAUAUGAGCCUUGGCCGCAUGGCCGGGGCUGGAAAGUUUUUCGGUUGAAGAUGACUUCGCGGCCUAUCAGCUUGUUGGUGAGGUAACGGCUCACCAAGGCGACGACGGGUAGCCGGCCUGAGAGGGCGACCGGCCACACUGGGACUGAGACACGGCCCAGACUCCUACGGGAGGCAGCAGUGGGGAAUAUUGGGCAAUGGAGGAAACUCUGACCCAGCGACGCCGCGUGAGGGAUGAAGGCCUUCGGGUUGUAAACCUCUUUCAGUAGGGAAGAAGCGAAAGUGACGGUACCUACAGAAGAAGCACCGGCUAACUAUGUGCCAGCAGCCGCGGUAAUACAUAGGGUGCAAGCGUUGUCCGGAAUUAUUGGGCGUAAAGAGCUCGUAGGUGGUUCGAUACGUCGGAUGUGAAAAUCAGGGGCUCAACCCCUGACCUGCAUUCGAUACGGUCGAGCUAGAGUUUGGUAGGGGAGACUGGAAUUCCUGGUGUAGCGGUGGAAUGCGCAGAUAUCAGGAGGAACACCGAUGGCGAAGGCAGGUCUCUGGGCCAAUACUGACACUGAGGAGCGAAAGCGUGGGGAGCGAACAGGAUUAGAUACCCUGGUAGUCCACGCCC
This 690-nucleotide ribosomal RNA is filed under the name uncultured bacterium. RNAcentral describes it as "bacterial SSU rRNA". It matches the Rfam family "Bacterial small subunit ribosomal RNA", at positions 97 to 802 of the family's 1533-position model. The record is from RNAcentral.